GGGAGCGUUCCCGAGUGGCCAAAGGGGACAGACUGUAAAUCUGCUGCAUAAUUGCUUCGGUGGUCCGAAUCCACCCGCUCCCACCA
This 86-nucleotide transfer RNA is filed under the name Bacillota bacterium. RNAcentral describes it as "Firmicutes bacterium (gut metagenome) tRNA-Tyr". It matches the Rfam family "tRNA". From Rfam's summary of the family: Transfer RNA (tRNA) molecules are approximately 80 nucleotides in length. Their secondary structure includes four short double-helical elements and three loops (D, anti-codon, and T loops). Lineage: Bacteria; Bacillati; Bacillota. The record is from RNAcentral.